Long non-coding RNA from Saccostrea echinata, 280 nucleotides. RefSeq lists it as uncharacterized. NCBI's taxonomy places the organism in Eukaryota, Metazoa, Mollusca, Bivalvia, Ostreida, Ostreidae. The record is from RefSeq and is a predicted model, not a curated record. The transcript has 3 exons.
UCGAACAACGGCGACGAGAUAAUAUAAACAACAAGAUCAAAGAACUAGGCACACUUUUACCACCAACAAUACACCCAAAAAUGAAAGAGUGUAAAGGAAGUAUUUUGAAAGCAUCAGUGGAAUAUGUAAAGGAGUUACAGAAAACCAGAGAAAAACUCAUCCGAGUCGAAAAGAAAACGAAAGCAAUGAAAGCUAGAAACCAGGAAAUGUUGAUGAAAAUAUUUCAACUCGAACUGAAGAUUAAAUUAUAUCAAUUAACGUGCGAUGAUUGAGAAACGAC